Long non-coding RNA from Esox lucius (northern pike), 1456 nucleotides. The record is from Ensembl. NCBI's taxonomy places the organism in Eukaryota, Metazoa, Chordata, Actinopteri, Esociformes, Esocidae.
UUGUAUUCUUCACACAACUCUGCCCGGCUCUGCAGUAUAGUCAAUGUUGACAGAAUCGGAGUGUUUCCCCAACAAUUAGGCUAUUUUUAAUGACAGUAUGUGGGCAAAAAUUGACUUCGUCGAAUCGAUUUACAUAUAAGUUUGUAUUUUAAAAUUAGCGUUUUGUGUGGAUUCCGCGGGUGAUUGGGAAGUAUACUGUCAAUAAAAUGGUUAUUUUUUCCAGGAAUUCCAGAAGCGUCUGAUUUUUUAUUUUUUAAAAGAGUAAUUUGUAUGAUUUACACUAUACAAAAACUAUACAGAGUACUUCACAACAUGUUACAACGCAUUCACGCUCAGUAGAUAGUGCGUCGCCCCAAUUAUUUUGUCUUACUGUCGUGUAGCGCCCACUUACACCCAGCCGCUUUGUUUGACAUUACACCUCUCUUCACUUGUCUAUUAGGAUUGAAGGAGUAUAGAAUUCUUAACAAUAUUGCGCAAACGAAAAAUACCAAAAUAAAUUGGGAUAAACUCUAAAUACAAUUAGAAAAAAUACAGGUAUCAUUCUCGAGCAUUGGAGGAAUACGCAGGCAGAUAUGUAUGUGGAAAGCAACGCUGAGUAGGCCAUUGGUCUCCUGUACAGUGGCAGGGCCUUGAGGGAAGUAUGAACAGGAGCAAAAUACAGAUAUGUUCUUGAAGAAAAGUCCUGAUGCAGAGCACACAGGACCUCAGACUGAGGCAAACAUGAAUCUUUCAGCACGACAACGACCCAAAGCACGCAGCCAAGACUACUCUGGAGAGGCUUCAGGAAAAGUCUUUGAAUGUCCUUGAGUUGCUCAGCCAAAGCCCAGAACUGAAACCCAUUGAACAUCUGUAGGGAGACCUGGAGGUUGCAUUUUACUGAUGCUCCCCAUUCAGUCUGACAGAGAAAUAAUAGGGUAAUAUGUAUUUUCAUUAAAUUGGCACACAUUUCUAAUAAUGUUUUUUGCGAAACUUUGUCAGAACACCAUGUCGUACAGUAAUGAUGGACUGUCUUUUCUUAUUCAAGCUGUUCUUGCCAUGAUAUGGACUACUACAGUACAAACAUAAUGAUGUUUUUCUGUAUACCAAUCCUAACGCAUUAAGAAGGGAAAAAAAUCCCAGAUUAACUUUUAACAAUGCAUACCUGUCAACUGAAUUACAUUCCAGUUGACUGCUUCAUGAAGCUGGUUGAGAAAAUGUCAAGACUAUGCAAAUCUGUCAUAAAGGUAAAAGGUGGCUACUUUGAAGAUUUUUUUUAACACUUUUUUUGGGUUACUACAUUUCUUGUGUUAUUCCAUAUUUGUGAUGUAUUCCCUCUUACAGUCUGGAAAAUAAAGAAAUAUGAAUAGCUAUGAGUAGCUCUGUCCAAACGUUUGACUGGUACUGUAUAUAUAUUUUUAUUAUGAUAAUUUGCUGUCUGUUUUUUGGGAACCAGGCACAUUCAUAACAAAUAAUAAAA